This is a long non-coding RNA of Pistacia vera, 149 nucleotides long. RefSeq lists it as uncharacterized. Lineage: Eukaryota; Viridiplantae; Streptophyta; Magnoliopsida; Sapindales; Anacardiaceae. The transcript has 3 exons. The record is from RefSeq and is a predicted model, not a curated record.
GAGAAACCUUGGCAAGCCAGUAGAGUUUGCGGGACAAUACUAUAAAGAUGGAACUGAUGAGAUUAGUUUUUUGAAUAUCACCGGUUUCCGUGAUUUCCCGUUAGGUGAUUUGCCAAUGUUGCAGGUGUUAAGGUUAACUUCAGAGAAUG